UGGGGAAUAUUGCACAAUGGGCGAAAGCCUGAUGCAGCAACGCCGCGUGAGUGAUGAAGGUCUUCGGAUUGUAAAGCUCUGUCUUUUGAGACGAUAAUGACGGUACCAAAGGAGGAAGCCACGGCUAACUACGUGCCAGCAGCCGCGGUAAUACGUAGGUGGCGAGCGUUGUCCGGAUUUACUGGGCGUAAAGGGUGCGUAGGCGGAUGUUUAAGUGAGAUGUGAAAUACCCGGGCUUAACUUGGGUGCUGCAUUUCAAACUGGAUAUCUAGAGUGCAGGAGAGGAGAAUGGAAUUCCUAGUGUAGCGGUGAAAUGCGUAGAGAUUAGGAAGAACACCAGUGGCGAAGGCGAUUCUCUGGACUGUAACUGACGCUGAGGCACGAAAGCGUGGGUAGCAAACAGGAUUAGAUACCCUGGUAGUCCACGCCGUAAACGAUGAGUACUAGGUGUAGGAGGUAUCGACCCCUUCUGUGCCGCAGUAAACACAUUAAGUACUCCGCCUGGGAAGUACGAUCGCAAGAUUAAAACUCUAAAGUGAAUUGACGGGGGUC
This 552-nucleotide ribosomal RNA is filed under the name uncultured bacterium. RNAcentral describes it as "partial 16S ribosomal RNA". It matches the Rfam family "Bacterial small subunit ribosomal RNA", at positions 355 to 921 of the family's 1533-position model. The record is from RNAcentral.